RNAcentral lists this ribosomal RNA (406 nucleotides) under uncultured bacterium. RNAcentral describes it as "partial 16S ribosomal RNA". It matches the Rfam family "Bacterial small subunit ribosomal RNA", at positions 29 to 526 of the family's 1533-position model. The record is from RNAcentral.
AUUGAACGCUGGCGGCAGGCCUAACACAUGCAAGUCGAGCGAGCGGCGGACGGGCGAGCAAUGUCUGGGAAACUGCCUGAUGGAGGGGGAUAACUACUGGAAACGGUAGCUAAUACCGCAUACCCUCAGAUGUGCCCAGAGGGGAUUAGCUAGUAGGUGGGGUAACGGCGCCCCUAGGCGACGAUCCCUAGCUGGGCUGAGAGGGUGACCAGCGACACUGGGCCAGGAAGACGGUCCAGAAUCCUACGGGAGGCAGAAGUGGGGAGUAUGGCACAAUAGGAGCAAGCCGGAUGCAGCCAUGCAGCGGGUGUGACGAAGGCCUUCGGGUUGUAAGGCACUUUCAGCGGGGAGGCGUUACCCGGAGGAGAAGCACCGGGUAACUCCGUGCCAGCCGCCGCGGUAAUAC